RNAcentral lists this ribosomal RNA (633 nucleotides) under Flavobacterium sp. So3Pw_2922. RNAcentral describes it as "bacterial SSU rRNA". It matches the Rfam family "Bacterial small subunit ribosomal RNA", at positions 381 to 1016 of the family's 1533-position model. Lineage: Bacteria; Pseudomonadati; Bacteroidota; Flavobacteriia; Flavobacteriales; Flavobacteriaceae. The record is from RNAcentral.
GCCUGACCAGCCAUGCCGCGUGCAGGAUGACGGUCCUAUGGAUUGUAAACUGCUUUUGUACGGGAAGAAACACUCCGACGUGUCGGAGCUUGACGGUACCGUAAGAAUAAGGAUCGGCUAACUCCGUGCCAGCAGCCGCGGUAAUACGGAGGAUCCAAGCGUUAUCCGGAAUCAUUGGGUUUAAAGGGUCCGUAGGCGGUCUGGUAAGUCAGUGGUGAAAGCCCAUCGCUCAACGGUGGAACGGCCAUUGAUACUGCUGGACUUGAAUUACUGGGAAGCAACUAGAAUAUGUAGUGUAGCGGUGAAAUGCUUAGAGAUUACAUGGAAUACCAAUUGCGAAGGCAGGUUGCUACCAGUGGAUUGACGCUGAUGGACGAAAGCGUGGGUAGCGAACAGGAUUAGAUACCCUGGUAGUCCACGCCGUAAACGAUGGAUACUAGCUGUUGGGAGCAAUCUCAGUGGCUAAGCGAAAGUGAUAAGUAUCCCACCUGGGGAGUACGUUCGCAAGAAUGAAACUCAAAGGAAUUGACGGGGGCCCGCACAAGCGGUGGAGCAUGUGGUUUAAUUCGAUGAUACGCGAGGAACCUUACCAAGGCUUAAAUGCAGACUGACCGAUUUGGAAACAGAUCUUUC